AGCGGCAGACGGGUGAGUAACGCGUGGGAACGUACCUUUUGGUUCGGAACAACACAGGGAAACUUGUGCUAAUACCGGAUAAGCCCUUACGGGGAAAGAUUUAUCGCCGAAAGAUCGGCCCGCGUCUGAUUAGCUAGUUGGUGAGGUAACGGCUCACCAAGGCGACGAUCAGUAGCUGGUCUGAGAGGAUGAUCUGCCACAUUGGGACUGAGACACGGCCCAAACUCCUACGGGAGGCAGCAGUGGGGAAUAUUGGACAAUGGGCGCAAGCCUGAUCCAGCCAUGCCGCGUGAGUGAUGAAGGCCCUAGGGUUGUAAAGCUCUUUUGUGCGGGAAGAUAAUGACGGUACCGCAAGAAUAAGCCCCGGCUAACUUCGUGCCAGCAGCCGCGGUAAUACGAAGGGGGCUAGCGUUGCUCGGAAUCACUGGGCGUAAAGGGUGCGUAGGCGGGUCUUUAAGUCAGGGGUGAAAUCCUGGAGCUCAACUCCAGAACUGCCUUUGA
This 501-nucleotide ribosomal RNA is filed under the name uncultured bacterium. RNAcentral's name for it is "bacterial SSU rRNA". It matches the Rfam family "Bacterial small subunit ribosomal RNA", at positions 94 to 630 of the family's 1533-position model. The record is from RNAcentral.